UGCAUACGCUGACUGAAUAGUACGGUACACCUGUUACGUGGGCGCUCGACAAAGGCAGUUCUUUUAAAAUGAAGCAAGUCAUCCUCGCUCUCGUAUCGCUCUGCUUCUUCGACUUCAUUGAGCCACAGUGCGAGAAAGAAAACAUGGCGCAGAUAUUUUCUGAAGCUGACGCUGAAUGUAAUGCAAGAUACAGACAGCAAUACGGAAAACACACAGAUUUGGUUCCCGACACGACAAGAUGCUGCAUGUUGGAGUACGGCAAGGACUGCGUUCCCUUACGACUCAGAGAAAAACGAUGCGAUCAACUGAUCUUCACACAUUUUAAGGAAAUAAGGAGCAAGCAAA
This is a long non-coding RNA of Ornithodoros turicata, 345 nucleotides long. RefSeq lists it as uncharacterized. Lineage: Eukaryota; Metazoa; Arthropoda; Arachnida; Ixodida; Argasidae. The transcript has 3 exons. The record is from RefSeq and is a predicted model, not a curated record.